CCUACGGGUGGCAGCAGUGGGGAACAUUGGGCAAUGGGCGCAAGCCUGACCCAGUAACGCCGCGUGAAGGAAGAAGGCUUUCGGGUUGUAAACUUCUUUUCUCAGGGACGAAGAAAGUGACGGUACCUGAGGAAUAAGCCACGGCUAACUACGUGCCAGCAGCCGCGGUAAUACGUAGGUGGCAAGCGUUAUCCGGAUUUACUGGGUGUAAAGGGCGUGUAAGAGGGACUGCAAGUCAGAUGUGAAAACCACGGGCUCAACCUGUGGCCUGCAUUUGAAACUGUAGUUCUUGAGUACUGGAGAGGCAGACGGAAUGCCUAGUGUAGCGGUGAAAUGCGUAGAUAUUAGGAGGAACACCAGUGGCGAAGGCGGUCUGCUGGACAGCAACUGACGCUGAGGCGCGAAAGCGUGGGGAGCAAACAGGAUUAGAUACCCUUGUAGUC
RNAcentral lists this ribosomal RNA (443 nucleotides) under uncultured bacterium. RNAcentral's name for it is "partial 16S ribosomal RNA". It matches the Rfam family "Bacterial small subunit ribosomal RNA", at positions 338 to 795 of the family's 1533-position model. The record is from RNAcentral.